RNAcentral lists this ribosomal RNA (499 nucleotides) under uncultured bacterium. RNAcentral describes it as "bacterial SSU rRNA". It matches the Rfam family "Bacterial small subunit ribosomal RNA", at positions 29 to 516 of the family's 1533-position model. The record is from RNAcentral.
AUUGAACGCUGGCGGAAUGCUUUACACAUGCAAGUCGAACGGCAGCACGGGGGCAACCCAGGUGGCGAGUGGGCGAACGGGUGAGUAAUACAUCGGAACGUGCCCAGUCGUGGGGGAUAACGGUAGCGAAAGCUACGCUAAUACCGCAUACGAUCUACGGAUGAAAGCGGGGGAUCGCAAGGACCUCGCGCGAUUGGAGCGGCCGAUGGCAGAUUAGGUAGUUGGUGGGGGUAAAGGCUCACCAAGCCUUCGAUCUGUAGCUGGUCUGAGAGGACGACCAGGCCACACUGGGACUGAGACACGGCCCAGACUCCUACGGGAGGCAGCAGUGGGGGAAUUUUGGACAAUGGGCGAAAGCCUGAUCCAGCCAUUCCGCGUGCAGGGAUGAAGGCCCUCGGGUUGUAAACCUGCUUUUGUACGGACGAAACGGCCUUUUCUAAUACAGAGGGCUAAUGACGGUACCGUAAGAUAAGCACCGGCUAACUACGUGCCAGCAGCC